AGGAGGGCCCCUGGGAGGGUAACCACGAGAUUCACACGGGCUCACGAGGAUUUGGUAGCCCCACAAAUCCUUGGUCCCUGUGGCACCUCCUUUGCAGACGAGAGUUGGCAAUCAGACAGAACAGUUCUUGAGGCUGCACACCUGGCCUAGGGGGAGGGGCCGGGGGCCAGGUGCAGCCCGGAGCAAGCGGAGGGACUGGAGGAAACUGGGCCGGGCUCCAGCGCAGGGUAACGGAGAGGUGGGAUCAGAUCAGGACUGGGGAACAAGGGCUUCGCCCCCCACCUCUCCCUGCCUUGAGAAGCCACUGGAGGAUUCUGAGCCUGCGAGAGACACGGUUGGACUUGCGUUUUAUAAGGAUGGUUUGGGCUUCAGUGCGGAAAACAGGCUGAAGAGGAAUGAGAGGGUGAAGCCGGGAGAAGGUCAGCUAACACAGAGGAGUGGGGAUGGCCACUGGCCCCUGGGUCCCAGGAGCCCAGAAGGGGCCAGGUUUCCCGCACGUUUCAAGUUUGAGCUGACAAGACUCGCUGGUCUGGAUGGGAUACAAGAGAGACAGGCGCCGAGGACACUUCCAAGCGUUUUGACCUGAGGAAAUGAAAGCAAGGUGUUUCCAUUUGCUGUGGGAGGGCAGGUUGGAGGCUAGCAGGUGGGGGACACACUGUUUGGAACUGGUUAAGCGUCAGGAGCCGUGAGCUGUCCACCAGAGAUGUUGGGCAGGCCUGGAGUGCAGGUGCAGGGGGCCAGCUAGAGGCAGGCGGCUUUUGGCAGGGGGGUGUCCCUAGAAAGAUGGUUCUCAGCCCCAUGGAAGGAAGAGACCAUCCAUGGAGAGCUGCGACAGACAGAAGAAGCAGAGUCAGGAUCCCUGGGCCAGGGCCAGGUUAACAGGGAGACGAGGAGCAAGAGGAAAGGUGGGAGGUCAAGAGAAGGGCGUGUUCAGAGCGGAGGGAGUGACCAGCUGUGCCCAUUGCUGCUGGUGAGUAGACCAAGGGUAACCUCUGGGGCCAGCCACAUAGUGGUCAGCACCGACCUUGCCAAAGGCUAUUUGGGUGGAGUGGCUCAGAGAUCACAGAUUGCAGUGGCCUCAGGAGAUCACAGGAGGAGAGCGGUCAUGGAGAGACCACCCUGACGAUGGAGGGUCCUAGAAGAGAAUCAGAUAAACAGGGCUGGCGUUGGGGGAUUUGGGGGGGGGGGUCAAGGGUGGUGUUUUUUUUUUUUAACGUGGGAGACAUUCCAGCAUGUUUGUUGCCUGCUGAUAAGGACGAUCCAGGAGAGGGGAUGUGGGUGACACGGCUCUGCAGAGAAGCCAGAGAAGGGAAAUGGAGACGAGAAGAUGCAAAGGCCCCUCACCAGCUCCAUGCCUGGGGGCCGGAGCACUAGAGGCAGCACGCUGGACUCCACUGGGACCAGCAUUUGUCCAGCAAAUAAGUGGAGGGAAAGGGCAGGGGGCUGAGGGUAGAUGCAACCGAGGGAUUCAUCUGUAACCUGAGUGAGGAGAGGCAGAG
Molecule: long non-coding RNA, 1499 nt
Organism: Ovis aries (sheep)
Lineage: Eukaryota; Metazoa; Chordata; Mammalia; Artiodactyla; Bovidae
Source: Ensembl